ACGCACGCUGGCGGCGUGCUUAACACAUGCCAGUCGAACGGAAAGGCCCUGCUUUUGUGGGGUGCUCGAGUGGCGAACGGGUGAGUAACACGUGAGUAACCUGCCCUUGACUUUGGGAUAACUUCAGGAAACUGGGGCUAAUACCGGAUAGGAGCUCCUGCUGCAUGGUGGGGGUUGGAAAGUUUCGGCGGUUGGGGAUGGACUCGCGGCUUAUCAGCUUGUUGGUGGGGUAGUGGCUUACCAAGGCUUUGACGGGUAGCCGGCCUGAGAGGGUGACCGGCCACAUUGGGACUGAGAUGCGGCCCAGACUCCUACGGGAGGCAGCAGUGGGGAAUAUUGCACAAUGGGCGGAAGCCUGAUGCAGCAACGCCGCGUGCGGGAUGACGGCCUUCGGGUUGUAAACCGCUUUCGCCUGUGACGAAGCGUGAGUGACGGUAAUGGGUAAAGAAGCACCGGCUAACUACGUG
This 467-nucleotide ribosomal RNA is filed under the name uncultured bacterium. RNAcentral's name for it is "partial 16S ribosomal RNA". It matches the Rfam family "Bacterial small subunit ribosomal RNA", at positions 29 to 507 of the family's 1533-position model. The record is from RNAcentral.